This 390-nucleotide unclassified non-coding RNA is filed under the name soil metagenome. RNAcentral describes it as "partial contains 5.8S ribosomal RNA, internal transcribed spacer 2, and large subunit ribosomal RNA". The stretch from base 1 to 122 matches the Rfam family "5.8S ribosomal RNA", at positions 35 to 154 of the family's 154-position model. The record is from RNAcentral.
GAUGAAGAACGCAGCGAAAUGCGAUACUUGGUGUGAAUUGCAGAAUCCCGUGAACCAUCGAGUCUUUGAACGCAAGUUGCGCCCGAAGCCAUUAGGCCGAGGGCACGCCUGCCUGGGCGUCACACGUCGUUGCCCCCCCAUCUACUCCUUCGGGAUUGCGGGGGGCGGAUGAUGGCCUCCCGUGCGCCUCGUCGCGCGGUUGGCAUAAAUGCCAAGUCCUCGGCGACGCACGCCACGACAAUCGGUGGUUGCGAAACCUCGGUUGCCCGUCGUGUGCGGUCGUCGCGCAUCGAGGGCUCGAAAAAAUGCUCGGCUCCGGCUCGGCUUUCAACGCGACCCCAGGUCAGGCGGGGUUACCCGCUGAAUUUAAGCAUAUCAAUAAGCGGAGGA